Molecule: non-coding RNA, 97 nt
Organism: Acanthosepion pharaonis
Lineage: Eukaryota; Metazoa; Mollusca; Cephalopoda; Sepiida; Sepiidae
Source: the annotation of a GenBank genome assembly
CAUAUCAUGUUAAAACACUGGUUCUCAUAUGAUCACUGAAGUUAAGCUAUGUUGAGCCUGGUCAGUAGAUAGAUGGGUGACUGCUUGAGAAUAGCAG